RNAcentral lists this ribosomal RNA (1488 nucleotides) under Lactiplantibacillus plantarum. RNAcentral's name for it is "bacterial SSU rRNA". It matches the Rfam family "Bacterial small subunit ribosomal RNA". Lineage: Bacteria; Bacillati; Bacillota; Bacilli; Lactobacillales; Lactobacillaceae. The record is from RNAcentral.
GACGAACGCUGGCGGCGUGCCUAAUACAUGCAAGUCGAACGAACUCUGGUAUUGAUUGGUGCUUGCAUCAUGAUUUACAUUUGAGUGAGUGGCGAACUGGUGAGUAACACGUGGGAAACCUGCCCAGAAGCGGGGGAUAACACCUGGAAACAGAUGCUAAUACCGCAUAACAACUUGGACCGCAUGGUCCGAGCUUGAAAGAUGGCUUCGGCUAUCACUUUUGGAUGGUCCCGCGGCGUAUUAGCUAGAUGGUGGGGUAACGGCUCACCAUGGCAAUGAUACGUAGCCGACCUGAGAGGGUAAUCGGCCACAUUGGGACUGAGACACGGCCCAAACUCCUACGGGAGGCAGCAGUAGGGAAUCUUCCACAAUGGACAAAAGUCUGAUGGAGCAACGCCGCGUGAGUGAAGAAGGGUUUCGGCUCGUAAAACUCUGUUGUUAAAGAAGAACAUAUCUGAGAGUAACUGUUCAGGUAUUGACGGUAUUUAACCAGAAAGCCACGGCUAACUACGUGCCAGCAGCCGCGGUAAUACGUAGGUGGCAAGCGUUGUCCGGAUUUAUUGGGCGUAAAGCGAGCGCAGGCGGUUUUUUAAGUCUGAUGUGAAAGCCUUCGGCUCAACCGAAGAAGUGCAUCGGAAACUGGGAAACUUGAGUGCAGAAGAGGACAGUGGAACUCCAUGUGUAGCGGUGAAAUGCGUAGAUAUAUGGAAGAACACCAGUGGCGAAGGCGGCUGUCUGGUCUGUAACUGACGCUGAGGCUCGAAAGUAUGGGUAGCAAACAGGAUUAGAUACCCUGGUAGUCCAUACCGUAAACGAUGAAUGCUAAGUGUUGGAGGGUUUCCGCCCUUCAGUGCUGCAGCUAACGCAUUAAGCAUUCCGCCUGGGGAGUACGGCCGCAAGGCUGAAACUCAAAGGGAUUGACGGGGGCCCGCACAAGCGGUGGAGCAUGUGGUUUAAUUCGAAGCUACGCGAAGAACCUUACCAGGUCUUGACAUACUAUGCAAAUCUAAGAGAUUAGACGUUCCCUUCGGGGACAUGGAUACAGGUGGUGCAUGGUUGUCGUCAGCUCGUGUCGUGAGAUGUUGGGUUAAGUCCCGCAACGAGCGCAACCCUUAUUAUCAGUUGCCAGCAUUAAGUUGGGCACUCUGGUGAGACUGCCGGUGACAAACCGGAGGAAGGUGGGGAUGACGUCAAAUCAUCAUGCCCCUUAUGACCUGGGCUACACACGUGCUACAAUGGAUGGUACAACGAGUUGCGAACUCGCGAGAGUAAGCUAAUCUCUUAAAGCCAUUCUCAGUUCGGAUUGUAGGCUGCAACUCGCCUACAUGAAGUCGGAAUCGCUAGUAAUCGCGGAUCAGCAUGCCGCGGUGAAUACGUUCCCGGGCCUUGUACACACCGCCCGUCACACCAUGAGAGUUUGUAACACCCAAAGUCGGUGGGGUAACCUUUUAGGAACCAGCCGCCAAGGUGGGACAGAUGAUUAGGGUG